CUAUUAGCGAGGAUAGUAGGACUACUCUCCUCAUCAAUACAAGCGAUUUUCCCAGGCCCACACCGGGCAAUGCAGAGACUGAAAGCCCAAUAUUUACGAACCGGACACACAUACGAUCACUGGAUUACUGUCUCCACGGAGGCUCGGACGGAACUUCGGUGGUGGCUACUGCACAUGGAAGCCUGGAACGGCAGAGCCAUUUUCGGGGCGAACACGGACUUUGUAUUGGAGUCGGACGCGAGCCUUUGGGGCUGGGGAGCCCACUGCACCCACGGGAGGUCCAUGGUCUCAAGAGGAACAGGGUCUCCACAUCAACUGCCUGGAACUGAUUGCGGGAUCGUUUGCAAUUCGCAGUCUAGCCAAGGACAUGGCGAACUGUUGCAUCCUUCUACGCAUGGACAACAUUUCCGCGGUCCAAUACAUAAAUCGACUAGGGGGAGCCCGAUCAAGGAUCCUGACGGAGGCGACGAAGGACAUCUAUCAAUUCUGUAUUCCCCGCAACAUUACGAUCAAAGCGGAAUAUCUACCAGGAGCCAACAACCUCACGGCGGAUUGGUUUUCUCGUCACUGGCGAGACGGCAGCGACUGGAGACUGGACACUUCAGUAUUUUCAAUGGUGAGGGACCUCAGGGGCCCGUUGGUCGUGGAUCUGUUUGCCUCUCGGACGAACACACAGUUACCAAGAUAUUUCAGCUGGCUUCCGGACCCUCAAUGCGAGGCAGUAGACGCCUUU
Non-coding RNA from Pelobates cultripes (western spadefoot toad), 733 nucleotides. The record is from the annotation of a GenBank genome assembly. Lineage: Eukaryota; Metazoa; Chordata; Amphibia; Anura; Pelobatidae.